Molecule: long non-coding RNA, 1645 nt
Organism: Zonotrichia leucophrys gambelii
Lineage: Eukaryota; Metazoa; Chordata; Aves; Passeriformes; Passerellidae
Exons: 3
Source: RefSeq, a predicted model, not a curated record
GGGGGUUGGAGUCAGUGGCUGCUUUGUGAAGGAGAAAGAGUCAGUGCUGUGAGGAGAUGCCCAUGGGAAACAUCAAGAAGGAGAAAACUUAGCUGGUUCUCAUCAGAGUACAUCAAAUACAACACUCCUUCUGCAUGGUGCUCCAGUUGUGAUGUAAAUGGUGAUUUGUAAAGCUGCGGCAGGAAGUGACAAAUGGCAGCGCUGUGCUUGUCAAGGGCUUCGUUAGCACGGCCGUGUGUCAGCUGCAGGAGAGGGAUCAGAGCUCCCUCUUCUAAUAGGGGAGACUUCCAAGAACUGCCAGCUGAUUCCUGAGAGCUGCGAGAAGACAAUUAGACUAAACAUAGGACAUUGUUGGGAAGUUUAAAAAGUUGACAUUAUGCACUGUUAAAAAAAAUUCAAGACAAAUUCGACACCAGUUGAAACCUGAAACUGCACCAUGACUUGGAGAGAGCAAAACAAUCUUAGGUUUUCAAAGAAUAAUGAAGUUUUUCGUAUUCCUAGGGAGUAAAAUAACAUGAGGUGUCUGCAUGUCAGCAACUCACCUGCAAUCUUUUCCCUAAAAGAAUGUUGGAUUUUGGCAUCAGCUUCACAUCGACAAGCAUUUUUCCCUGUUGUAAAAAUAAUUAGCGUGAAUGGAAAUAUACGUGUACAUGGAAAUAUAUCUCAAGAGAAUGAACUGCAAGUGAAAAUCAGUGAGGGUUUUUCCAUGGUAAAAAAAAAAACUUACACAACUGAAAAAAAAAAAAAGAAGAUUUAUUGCUAAGAAAGUUUGCACUUCCAGAAAAAGACAGCGGUCAUGAGUAUUUUAGAAUGUUGCAUAGCUAAACCCUGGGUGAGUUCUGAUGCUGUGUGGAUUGAGGUGCUCUGGAAUGAAGCCGCACCUUUGGGUGGGAAUGUCGGAAGUACAGAUGUGCGCAGUGCCAGAUGUUGCUCCUGGAGGGAGGAAGGAGAGGACACUCUGUUGCACACAUGAAGUGGUGAAUGUAAUUUGGAGUUGUUAGUGGUUAUGGAAGAAGCCUUUGUGGUCGGUCUUUUGUCCCUGCACAGCAUUUCUGCAGUCUUUGUUAAAAUGAAAUUUCUUUCCCCUGUGUAGCUCUGUAAAUGUGAAAACACCAAGAGAGUUCAAGUAAUUUUCUAAACGAGUACAGGCUGAAAUAAGAAGCUUUGCUUUUGCCAGACAGGAGCACCUAAUAACACUGAAGAAACUGUUUUCACCAAGGGUCAAAAAUGAUAAUGAACUUUCUCUCCCACUAUCUCUGGAAAUAUUAUAACUUAACACAGAUGCAAUGCCUGGACAUCUUCCCAGAAAGGCUCAAGUAAAAUUAUUUAUUGCCAAUAAAAACAACAUAGUGAUAUUUCCCUGCUGCUGUUAAAUUUAGGAUUGAUGGGAUGAAUAAAGUCAGGGCAAUAGAAACUUCCUAUGCCAAGAUGAAAACUUGGAAGGAAGAGUUAAUUCCAAACCAGACCAAAUAUUUAAUAUUUAAAUCAUUUAAAAUGAUUUAACCAUUAUAAUAUGCAACUUAAAUAUUCUCAUUCAGGAGUCUACUUUGGAAGGGAGACUCUAUGACCUUUAAGUGUAGUAUGCAUCCAUUAAAGGAUUUUCACACCACCGAGUGCAUCUUAAAAGGAAAACUGGUUCUUUGCU